UCAUGGACCCUCAUUUCUAUUCGACCAGCUUCAUUCAGGUGAUCUUGCCGCAAACAUCUCCAAGAAGUCCCCAUACCGAUACUAUCGUCGCAAACAAAAACACCAACAACAGAUCCGUGAUAAUUACUGUAUUGGUCUUGGGCGGUAUUGGUGUGAUUGCCCUCAUUGGAACCACCGUC
RNAcentral lists this small nuclear RNA (179 nucleotides) under Licmophora paradoxa. RNAcentral's name for it is "partial Dictyostelium signal recognition particle". Lineage: Eukaryota; Bacillariophyta; Fragilariophyceae; Licmophorales; Licmophoraceae. The record is from RNAcentral.